AAAGCUCGUAGUCGAAGUUUGUUUCUCGGUGCGGUAUACUUAAUGCCGUAGCGUCAAACCGCGUCGGUCACAUUUAGCACUCACUGUGCAAGUGGGGCAGGACGCUUUUUACUUUGAGGAAAUUAGGGUGUUUUAAGCAGGUUGAGCAUUGAAUAUUGUAGCAUGGAAUAAUUGGAUAAGGCCUCGGAGCUAUUUUGUUGGUUCUAGUACCGUGGCAAUGAUGAAUAGGGACAGCCGGGGGUAUUCGUAUUUAACUGCCAGAGGUGAAAUUCUUGGACUUGUUGAAGACGUACUACUGCGAAAGCAUUUGCCAAGGAUGUUCUCGUUGAUCAAGAACGAAAGUUAGGGGAUCGAAGACGAUCAGAUACCGUCCUAGUCUUAACCAUAAACUAUGCCGACUAGAGAUUGGGGGAAGUUCUCUAAACACACUCUCAGCAUCCUGUGAGAAAUCAAAGUUUUUGGGUUCCGGGGGGAGUAUAGUCGCAAGGCUGAAACUUAAAGGAAUUGACGGAAGGGCACCACCAGGAGUGGAGCCUGCGGCUUAAUUUGACUCAACACGGGAAAACUCACCAGGUCCAGACAUAGGA
RNAcentral lists this ribosomal RNA (587 nucleotides) under uncultured marine eukaryote. Its description in RNAcentral is "bacterial SSU rRNA". It matches the Rfam family "Eukaryotic small subunit ribosomal RNA", at positions 623 to 1235 of the family's 1831-position model. The record is from RNAcentral.